CCUACGGGUGGCUGCAGUGGGGAAUAUUGGACAAUGGGCGCAAGCCUGAUCCAGCAAUGCCGCGUGUGUGAAGAAGGCCUGCGGGUUGUAAAGCACUUUGAGUGGGGAAGAAGGCCUGGGGGUUAAUAGCUUCUGGGAUUGACGUUACCCACAGAACAAGCACCGGCUAACUCCGUGCCAGCAGCCGCGGUAAUACGGAGGGUGCGAGCGUUAAGCGGAUUUAAUGGGCGUGAAGUGAAAGCCGGCGGUUGAACCUGGUAACUGCAUUGGAUACUGUUUGACUGGAGUGUGGUAGAGGGGUGUGGAAUUUCCGGUGUAGCAGUGAAAUGCGUAGAGAUCGGAAGGAACACCAGUGGCGAAGGCGGCACCCUGGACCGACACUGACGCUGAGGUGCGAAAGCGUGGGGAGCAAACAGGAUUAGAUACCCGAGUAGUC
Molecule: ribosomal RNA, 436 nt
Filed under: uncultured bacterium
Lineage: Bacteria
Description: partial 16S ribosomal RNA
Rfam family: Bacterial small subunit ribosomal RNA
Source: RNAcentral